UGAUAUGUUUGCAUUUGGGUUGACAGUGGAGACAUGAAAAACUCAACCUAAUCCAGACAUAGCACG
Molecule: microRNA precursor, 66 nt
Filed under: Patiria miniata (bat star)
Lineage: Eukaryota; Metazoa; Echinodermata; Asteroidea; Valvatida; Asterinidae
Description: Pmi-Mir-190_pre stem-loop
Source: RNAcentral